Molecule: long non-coding RNA, 488 nt
Filed under: Cyanistes caeruleus (blue tit)
Lineage: Eukaryota; Metazoa; Chordata; Aves; Passeriformes; Paridae
Description: lncRNA (ENSCCEG00000000600.1)
Source: RNAcentral
CUUUUUUAGAACAACACUGGGAGCUUUGAGGAGAUGUUUGACUAGCAGCCUCAUUGAAGCACUCAUGGUGUGAGAAGGGGGAAGCAGGGGGUGUCAAUGACAGGAAAGGAUAUCCAGUGAAAAUGCUCAGGAGAAGCUGAAGCUUUGAUCUCCAACAUGCAGUGACCUUCUGAGGAAAAUGGGACAAAGCCAGUCCCCACAGACCCAGUUUGGCUGUGCAAGCAGAGAAGAAUGAAACAGAAUGAGGGUAGAAAAUGGGGCUGCCACCUUGAAGUUGCUCCUUCUGUCGUCAGAAGUGUGUCUGUGACUCAGUUGAGAUGUUCCACCACGGAGGAGCUGCUGCAUCUCCUUGUCGAGGCAGGUGUGGAGGGACACCCAGAGCAGAGCAAUUCCCAUCUCCCUUGGAUGCUGCUUAGGGCAGCAGCAGAGUUAAACUGGCACAUCCCUUUCUACCUCAAACACACGUCAUUUUGCUUCACACCCUCAGU